This 465-nucleotide ribosomal RNA is filed under the name uncultured bacterium. RNAcentral's name for it is "bacterial SSU rRNA". It matches the Rfam family "Bacterial small subunit ribosomal RNA", at positions 338 to 795 of the family's 1533-position model. The record is from RNAcentral.
CCUACGGGACGCAGCAGUGGGGAAUAUUGCACAAUGGGCGCAAGCCUGAUGCAGCCAUGCCGCGUGUAUGAAGAUGGCCUUCGGGUUGUAAAGUACAUUCAGCGGGGAGGAAGGUGUUGAGGUUAAUAACCUCAGCAAUUGACGUUACCCGCAGAAGAAGCACCGGCUAACUCCGUGCCAGCAGCCGCGGUAAUACGGAGGGUGCAAGCGUUAAUCGGAAUUACUGGGCGUAAGGCGCACGCAGGCGGUCUGUCAAGUCGGAUGUGAAAUCCACGGGCUCAACCAGGGAACUGCAUUCGAAACUGGCAGGCUAGAGUCUUGUAGAGGGGGGUAGAAUUCCAGGUGUAGCGGUGAAAUGCGUAGAGAUCUGGAGGAAUACCGGUGGCGAAGGCGGCCCCCUGGACAAAGACUGACGCUCAGGUGCGAAAGCGUGGGGAGCAAACAGGAUUAGAUACCCCGGUAGUC